AUUACUCUAGUAUUAGAGCCUAUUGGCUCUUUUGUGAUGUAGAAUGUUUCAGACUUUAGUGAGGAAUGAAACGAUUCUAUUGGUGCGUUAUCUGAA
RNAcentral lists this non-coding RNA (96 nucleotides) under Enterococcus gallinarum. Lineage: Bacteria; Bacillati; Bacillota; Bacilli; Lactobacillales; Enterococcaceae. The record is from RNAcentral.